This 253-nucleotide ribosomal RNA is filed under the name uncultured bacterium. Its description in RNAcentral is "partial 16S ribosomal RNA". It matches the Rfam family "Bacterial small subunit ribosomal RNA", at positions 524 to 776 of the family's 1533-position model. The record is from RNAcentral.
UACGAAGGGGGCUAGCGUUGCUCGGAAUCACUGGGCGUAAAGGGCGCGUAGGCGGCCUUCUAAGUCAGACGUGAAAUCCCCCGGCUUAACCUGGGAACUGCGUCUGAUACUGGAGGGCUUGAGUGCGGGAGAGGGAUGUGGAAUUCCAGGUGUAGCGGUGAAAUGCGUAGAUAUCUGGAGGAACACCGGUGGCGAAGGCGGCAUCCUGGACCGACACUGACGCUGAGGCGCGAAAGCCAGGGGAGCAAACGGG